This is a non-coding RNA of Paramuricea clavata, 320 nucleotides long. Lineage: Eukaryota; Metazoa; Cnidaria; Anthozoa; Malacalcyonacea; Plexauridae. The record is from the annotation of a GenBank genome assembly.
CCGGGAAUAUACUUUUUUGCCAGAAUAAAAAAUCAGUCUAUAAUGGGAAUUGUCAUUUAUUAAACACCGAAAACAGGCUGGACUAUUUUAUAUUACAAUUGUUGUCACUGACAUCGCUCUGACUGCAAAUAUGGGUGCUAUUGUUGAGAUCUAUUGUUCAAGGGAUUGUGUCCCACCACAAUUUCACACACAGUGCAAUGGAAGCUCAAUCUGUUUACGUACAGUUGAAGGAUCUUGUACAUGGAAAUAAUCGAGUGGAAAUGUAUUUUGUUUAUUGUUAGUUAAAAUGUUAUUUGUUUGCAAAUUUGCUUCAGAAAAUG